AUAAUAAUUAGUUUUUUAAAUGGAGACUGGUAUGAAUGAUUGAACGAGAUAAAGUCUGUCUCAUUUAAAUUAAAUUUUAAUUUAAUUUUUAAGUAAAAAAGCUUAAAUAUUAUUAAAGGACGAGAAGACCCUAUAGAACUUUAUAAUUUUUAUUUUUUUAAAUUAAAAAUUAUUUUAUUAAAUAGAAAAUUAUUUUAUUGGGGUGAUAAGAAAAUUUAAUAAACUUUUUAAAUUUAAUUAACAUAGAUAAAUGAUUUUUUGAUCCUAAUUUUUAGAUUAUUAAAUUAAGUUACCUUAGGGAUAACAGCGUUAUUUUUUUUAAAAGUUCAUAUUAAUAAAAAAGAUUGC
Molecule: ribosomal RNA, 348 nt
Filed under: Acordulecera sp. SS2
Lineage: Eukaryota; Metazoa; Arthropoda; Insecta; Hymenoptera; Pergidae
Description: partial 16S ribosomal RNA
Source: RNAcentral